RNAcentral lists this ribosomal RNA (408 nucleotides) under Chelator insignis. RNAcentral's name for it is "partial large subunit ribosomal RNA". It matches the Rfam family "Bacterial large subunit ribosomal RNA", at positions 1956 to 2597 of the family's 2925-position model. The record is from RNAcentral. Lineage: Eukaryota; Metazoa; Arthropoda; Malacostraca; Isopoda; Desmosomatidae.
GUAGCAUAAUCAUUUGUCUUUUAAUUAAGGGCUGGCAUGAAGAGUUGACGACACCCCCUCUUUUUUAACCCUGUGUUGGAAUUUGAUAUUUACAUCAAAAAGUGUAACUUUCUGAGAAGACGAUAAGACCCUAUGAAACUUUUAUUUAUUUUGUAUUUUAAAAUAUUUAGGAGAUUUAAAAUUAUUAAAUUAAGCUGGGGCGGCAGCUAAAAGACAUUAGCAAAGAUAACAAUAACUAUUGAAUAUAAAGAUCUUACUAAGAGUUGAAAUAAGUUACUCUAGGGAUAACAGCACAAUUUUUUUGUAUAGAUCGUAUAGAAUAAAGAGACUUGUGACCUCGAUGUUGAAUUGGGGGGCCCCGCCUAAGCAGAAAUUGGCGCGGGGGGUCUGUUCGACCUUUAAUACCCC